This 253-nucleotide ribosomal RNA is filed under the name uncultured bacterium. RNAcentral's name for it is "partial 16S ribosomal RNA". It matches the Rfam family "Bacterial small subunit ribosomal RNA", at positions 524 to 776 of the family's 1533-position model. The record is from RNAcentral.
UACGGGGGGGGCAAGCGUUGUUCGGAAUUACUGGGCGUAAAGGGCUCGUAGGCGGCCAACUAAGUCAGACGUGAAAUCCCCCGGCUUAACCAGGGAACUGCGUCUGAUACUGGAUGGCUUGAGUUUGGGAGAGGGAUGCGGAAUUCCAGGUGUAGCGGUGAAAUGCGUAGAUAUCUGGAGGAACACCGGUGGCGAAGGCGGCAUCCUAGACCAACACUGACGCUGAGGAGCGAAAGCCAGGGGAGCAAACGGG